UACGUAGGGGGCUAGCGUUGUCCGGAAUCAUUGGGCGUAAAGCGCGUGUAGGCGGUCCGGUAAGUCCGCUGUGAAAGUCGAGGGCUCAACCCUCGAAUGCCGGUGGAUACUGUCGGGCUUGAGUACGGGAGAGGCGAGUGGAAUUCCUGGUGUAGCGGUGAAAUGCGCAGAUAUCAGGAGGGACACCGAUUGCGAAGGCAGCUCGCUGGAACGUUACUGACGCUGAGACGCGAAAGCGUGGGGAGCAAACAGG
This 253-nucleotide ribosomal RNA is filed under the name uncultured bacterium. RNAcentral describes it as "partial 16S ribosomal RNA". It matches the Rfam family "Bacterial small subunit ribosomal RNA", at positions 524 to 776 of the family's 1533-position model. The record is from RNAcentral.